RNAcentral lists this non-coding RNA (23 nucleotides) under Cricetulus griseus (Chinese hamster). The record is from RNAcentral. Lineage: Eukaryota; Metazoa; Chordata; Mammalia; Rodentia; Cricetidae.
CCCGGGACGUUUUGGGCAGAGGG